RNAcentral lists this ribosomal RNA (491 nucleotides) under uncultured bacterium. RNAcentral describes it as "partial 16S ribosomal RNA". It matches the Rfam family "Bacterial small subunit ribosomal RNA", at positions 28 to 506 of the family's 1533-position model. The record is from RNAcentral.
GAUGAACGCUAGCUACAGGCUUAACACAUGCAAGUCGAGGGGAAACGACAUCGAAAGCUUGCUUUUGAUGGGCGUCGACCGGCGCACGGGUGAGUAAUGCGUAUCCAACCUGCCCAUCACUUGGGAAUAACCUUGCGAAAGUAAGACUAAUACCCAAUGAUAUCCCACGAAGGCAUCGGAAUGGGAUUAAAGAUUUAUCGGUGAUGGAUGGGGAUGCGUCUGAUUAGCUUGUUGGCGGGGUAACGGCCCACCAAGGCAACGAUCAGUAGGGGUUCUGAGAGGAAGGUCCCCCACAUUGGAACUGAGACACGGUCCAAACUCCUACGGGAGGCAGCAGUGAGGAAUAUUGGUCAAUGGGCGAGAGCCUGAACCAGCCAAGUAGCGUGCAGGAAGACGGCCCUAUGGGUUGUAAACUGCUUUUAUAAGGGAAUAAAGUGGGUCACGUGUGACUUUUUGCAUGUACCUUAUGAAUAAGGACCGGCUAAUUCCGU